RNAcentral lists this ribosomal RNA (113 nucleotides) under uncultured Lactobacillus sp. RNAcentral's name for it is "partial 16S ribosomal RNA". It matches the Rfam family "Bacterial small subunit ribosomal RNA", at positions 359 to 476 of the family's 1533-position model. The record is from RNAcentral. Lineage: Bacteria; Bacillati; Bacillota; Bacilli; Lactobacillales; Lactobacillaceae.
GAAUCUUCCACAAUGGACGAAGUCUGAUGGAGCACGCCGCGUGAGUGAAGAAGGGUUUCGGCUCGUAAAGCUCUGUUGGUAGUGAAGAAAGAUAGAGGUAGUAACUGGCCUUU